This 857-nucleotide long non-coding RNA is filed under the name Solanum tuberosum (potato). RNAcentral describes it as "long non-coding RNA (STUB_LNC000833)". The record is from RNAcentral. Lineage: Eukaryota; Viridiplantae; Streptophyta; Magnoliopsida; Solanales; Solanaceae.
UUUCUUCUACUUUUUCUAUUUUUUAUUCUCCUCAUUCACACAAUUGUCGGAGAAGGAGAAGAAGAACUUACAGAUGGAGGAAGAGCAAUUGAUGGAAAAUUAGAGAAGAGUGAUUCGAUUCCGAAUUGAUGCAUUAAUUUGGUGAUGAAAUUAAAUUUCAUAUUUCACUAACGAAAUUGGAGGUAAUUUUUCAUUCUAAUUAUAAAUUUCUGGGUUUUCCUUCUAAUUUUUAUCUCUAGAUUUAAUUUGCAUUUGCAGAUCAAAUUGCAUACUGUUUUUGAUGUGAUAAUGAGGCAAACACAUGCUUUAAAGUUAUAUGAAGACAUAGACUUCAACAAAAGCUCUUCUCGCAAUUCUCAAAAUUUUGUAUCUCAAUCUCUUAUCGUGGUUAGAUUUUCUUAUUUUUGGUGAGUUCUAUCACCCUUCUUCUUCCUUUGAGAAAUAUAGGAAUAAUAUAAAUAAAUAAAUGCAAUAAAUUGGUUCUUUAUUAGCAAAUAUAAAGGACGGAUUUUGAAUCUGACAAAUAUAGAUGCAAUAAAAUUUUGAUUUGAAUGUAUAAUCUUUGCAUGUGGAUCUUUGGGAUUUUAAACAAAGUUCUCUAAUUUUUCAUUCAAUCGUGUGUUCAAAGUUCAUUGUGUGUUUUUAUUUUGUAGCUUUCAUCAUUGCUCAAAUUGAAAAAAAAAAUCUCCUUCUUGGUUUCUCAGUUUGAGUUGCAUGUCAGUACUUACCUUCGCUCUCCACUGUACCAAAAGUGUUUGAUUGUAUGCCUAAAUGAACUUUUCCCCUUCUUUAACUGUACAUUUAUAGAAAUUUCUACUCAAAUUUCCUGCUUAUUGCACUUCAUUGCUGGUCUANNN